GUGGGGAAUAUUGGACAAUGGGCGAAAGCCUGAUCCAGCAAUGCCGCGUGAGUGAUGAAGGCCCUAGGGUUGUAAAGCUCUUUUACCAGGGAUGAUAAUGACAGUACCUGGAGAAUAAGCUCCGGCUAACUCCGUGCCAGCAGCCGCGGUAAUACGGAGGGAGCUAGCGUUGUUCGGAAUUACUGGGCGUAAAGCGCGCGUAGGCGGUUUUUUAAGUCAGAGGUGAAAGCCCAGGGCUCAACCCCGGAAUUGCCUUUGAAACUGGAAAACUUGAAUCUUGGAGAGGUCAGUGGAAUUCCGAGUGUAGAGGUGAAAUUCGUAGAUAUUCGGAAGAACACCAGUGGCGAAGGCGACUGACUGGACAAGUAUUGACGCUGAGGUGCGAAAGCGUGGGGAGCAAACAGGAUUAGAAACCCUGGUAGUCC
Molecule: ribosomal RNA, 425 nt
Filed under: uncultured bacterium
Lineage: Bacteria
Description: partial 16S ribosomal RNA
Rfam family: Bacterial small subunit ribosomal RNA
Source: RNAcentral